AGCAGCCGCGGUAACACCGGCGGCCCGAGUGGUGAUCGUGAUUAUUGGGUCUAAAGGGUCCGUAGCCGGUUUGGUCAGUCCUCCGGGAAAUCUGAUAGCUCAACUAUUAGGCUUUCGGGGGAUACUGCCAGACUUGGAACCGGGAGAGGUAAGAGGUACUACAGGGGUAGGAGUGAAAUCUUGUAAUCCCUGUGGGACCACCUGUGGCGAAGGCGUCUUACCAGAACGGGUUCGACGGUGAGGGACGAAAGCUGGGGGCACGAACCGGAUUAGAUACCCGGGUAGUCCCAGCCGUAAACGAUGCUCGCUAGGUGUCAGGCAUGGCGCGACCGUGUCUGGUGCCGCAGGGAAGCCGUGAAGCGAGCCACCUGGGAAGUACGGCCGCAAGGCUGAAACUUAAAGGAAUUGGCGGGGGAGCACAACAACGGGUGGAGCCCUGCGGUUUAAUUGGACUCAACGCCGGACAACUCACCGGGGGCGACAGCAAUAUGUAGGCCAAGCUGAAGACUUUGCCUGAAUCGCUGAGAAGUGGUGCAUGG
RNAcentral lists this ribosomal RNA (539 nucleotides) under uncultured archaeon. RNAcentral's name for it is "bacterial SSU rRNA". It matches the Rfam family "Archaeal small subunit ribosomal RNA", at positions 460 to 997 of the family's 1478-position model. The record is from RNAcentral.